Molecule: long non-coding RNA, 701 nt
Organism: Drosophila santomea
Lineage: Eukaryota; Metazoa; Arthropoda; Insecta; Diptera; Drosophilidae
Exons: 2
Source: RefSeq, a predicted model, not a curated record
GUUUUGAAAAGGCAUUUCAAAAAGCUCGUCGUCUUUGGCGCAAAUCUUACCAAAAAUUGUCAGUGCUUGCCAAAUCGGUUCAGAAUCCACUUCAGAUGGAGCAUACCUCUUCAGAUAGCUAUCAGCGCUUCCGAAAUAAACUGCCUCUAAGUACUGCCAUAAAAAAUAACCCGAAAAUCAACAGGCUGCAUCCGUUUGAGAUCGAUGUUGUCAGGAGCGGAUCUACAGAUGGGACCAUCAAAAAUAUUUCCUUAAGUCCAAAAAGAGUAGAAGAGUAAAACCUCAACAGCAUUUGCGUCCGCCCCUGCGUAUACGCAUUGCGUAUACGUAAUAUUCCCGUGAACGAAACAAAAAGAAAUACUUGAGACCCAGGCACACACUUCUAACAACAGCUCCAUGCAACGCAACCUUGAAACAGCGAUCAAAUCCGCAGAGCAGCCCAAACAACAACACAUCACCACAUAUUUGUCGGAAAAAAGCAAACAAAUCCGCUUGCAGAUUGCAACACGCAGUGAGGUUGGUUAAGAACAACAGAAAAAGGCGGCGGCAAAAUACAAUAUUUAAAUUAAAUAUUAGCACACCAAAACGGAGCACAUCGCUGCCUGGAAAUGGGCUAAAUGUGAGACGAAUAUGUGGCAAUAGCCAUCCAUCUACAGCCGAGCGGAAAAUGAGAUGUAAAUAAAAAAAAAGAUGAACAAAAA